Molecule: ribosomal RNA, 269 nt
Filed under: uncultured Oscillospiraceae bacterium
Lineage: Bacteria; Bacillati; Bacillota; Clostridia; Eubacteriales; Oscillospiraceae
Description: partial 16S ribosomal RNA
Rfam family: Bacterial small subunit ribosomal RNA
Source: RNAcentral
UUAGAGAGCUUGCUUUUUAAGCUUAGUGGCGAACGGGUGAGUAACGCGUGAGUAACCUGCCCUAGAGUGGGGGACAACAGUUGGAAACGACUGCUAAUACCGCAUGAUGCAUAGGGGUCGCAUGAUUCUUAUGCCAAAGAUUUAUCGCUUCAAGAUGGCCUCGCGUCUGAUUAGCUAGUUGGCGGGGUAACGGCCCACCAAGGCGACGAUCAGUAGCCGGCCUGAGAGGGUGAACGGCCACAUUGGGACUGAGACACGGUCCAAACUCC